This 497-nucleotide ribosomal RNA is filed under the name uncultured bacterium. RNAcentral's name for it is "partial 16S ribosomal RNA". It matches the Rfam family "Bacterial small subunit ribosomal RNA", at positions 28 to 507 of the family's 1533-position model. The record is from RNAcentral.
GAUGAACGCUGGCGGCGUGCCUAAUACAUGCAAGUCGAGCGAACAGAUGAGGAGCUUGCUCCUCUGACGUUAGCGGCGGACGGGUGAGUAACACGUGGAUAACCUACCUAUAAGACUGGGAUAACUACGGGAAACCGGAGCUAAUACCGGAUAAUAUAUUGAACCGCAUGGUUCAAUAGUGAAAGACGGUUUUGCUGUCACUUAUAGAUGGAUCCGCGCCGCAUUAGCUAGUUGGUAAGGUAACGGCUUACCAAGGCAACGAUGCGUAGCCGACCUGGGAGGGUGAUCGGCCACACUGGAACUGAGACACGGUCCAGACUCCUACGGGAGGCAGCAGUAGGGAAUCUUCCGCAAUGGGCGAAAGCCUGACGGAGCAACGCCGCGUGAGUGAUGAAGGUCUUCGGAUCGUAAAACUCUGUUAUUAGGGAAGAACAAAUGUGUAAGUAACUAUGCACGUCUUGACGGUACCUAAUCAGAAAGCCACGGCUAACUACGUG